RNAcentral lists this ribosomal RNA (495 nucleotides) under uncultured bacterium. RNAcentral's name for it is "partial 16S ribosomal RNA". It matches the Rfam family "Bacterial small subunit ribosomal RNA", at positions 899 to 1397 of the family's 1533-position model. The record is from RNAcentral.
ACUCAAAGGAAUAGACGGGGGCCCGCACAAGCGGUGGAGCAUGUUGUUUAAUUCGACGCAACGCGAAGAACCUUACCAGGGCUUGACAUCCCGUGACAUCCCAUGAAAAUGGGCUUUUCCGCAAGGAGACACGGAGACAGGUGCUGCAUGGCUGUCGUCAGCUCGUGCCGUGAGGUGUUGGGUUAAGUCCCGCAACGAGCGCAACCCUUGUCGUGUGUUGGUCCACAAGAUCUCUCACACGAGACCGCCGGUGAGAAGCCGGAGGAAGGUGGGGAUGACGUCAAGUCCGCAUGGCCUUUAUUGUCCUGGGCUACAAACGUGCUACAAUGGGGAGGACAACGAGCAGCGAACUCGCGAGAGUAAGCCAAUCUCUUAAACCUUCUCUCAGUUCGGAUUGAAGGCUGCAACUCGCCUUCAUGAAGUCGGAAUCGCUAGUAACCGCAGAUCAGCUACGCUGCGGUGAAUACGUUCCCGGGCCUUGUACACACCGCCCGU